CCCUACGGGAGGCAGCAGGCGCGAAAACUCUACAAUGCAGGCAACUGCGAUAGGGGAACAUCGAGUGGCACCCACCAUGGGUGUCUGUCCAACCGUCUAGAAAACGGUUGUUAGCAAGGGCCGGGUAAGACCGGUGCCAGCCGCCGCGGUAAUACCGGCGGCUCGAGUGGUGGCCGAUAUUAUUGAGUCUAAAGGGUCCGUAGCUGGCUUUGCAAGUCCCCUGGGAAAUCCAGCGGCUUAACCGCUGGGCUUCCAUGGGAUACUACAUUGCUUGGGACUGGGAGAGGUAGGAGGUACUCAGGGGGUAGGGGUGAAAUCCUGUAAUCCUCUGGGGACCACCGGUGGCGAAGGCGUCCUACCAGAACAGGUCCGACAGUGAGGGACGAAAGCUAGGGGCACGAACCGGAUUAGAUACCCUGGUAGC
RNAcentral lists this ribosomal RNA (424 nucleotides) under uncultured bacterium. RNAcentral describes it as "bacterial SSU rRNA". It matches the Rfam family "Archaeal small subunit ribosomal RNA", at positions 321 to 745 of the family's 1478-position model. The record is from RNAcentral.